AGAGCAAACGCAAUUUUGGAGACGCGGUGAUUUUUCUCGUGGUUCCGAUAGGUGGUGCUAUCGUACUUCCACGUUGAUGGAGACUUCAACCCACGGAGGGUAACGGCUGCGAGAGUCCACGGAGGGCUCCACCCAUGAAGGGUCCACGAAGAAGCAACCUUGUCUAUUCCAUCAUGGCCUACGCCCACGGAGGGCUAGCCUUACUCGGGGUAGAUCUUCACGAAGUAGGCGAUCUCCUUGCCCUUACAAACUUCUUGGUUCAACUCCACAUCUCGACGGAGGCUCCCAAGCGACACCUAACCAAUCUAGGAGGCACCACCCUCCAAAAGGUAAUAGAUGUUGUAGAUGAUGAUGAACUCCUUGCUCUUGUGCUUCAAAUGAUAAUCUCCCCAACACUCAACUCUCCUCACUGAUUUGGCUGUGGUGGAAGAAAGGAUUGAGUGGAAAGCAACUUGGGAAGGCUAGAGAUCAAGCUUCAUAUGGUGGGAGUGGAGCAACUUGAUCUCAACACAAGGGUAGGUAGUUCUCUUCUCAGAAAUGUAAGGUAGGAGUGGUAGUUCUUUCUGAUGGCUCUCUCCACGAAUGAAGAGGGGGUGGAGGGGUAUAAAUAGCCUCCACACAAAAUCCAACCAUUACACACAUUUGAGCAAUCUCGGUGGGACCGAAGUUGACAACUCGGUGAGACCGAUAGUUCAAAUAAUGUGAACGUUGGGAUUUUCGGUGGGACCGAAAAUACAAUCUCGGUUAGUCCGAUUCGUGCAAUGACAAGAGCAUGCCAAUUUCGGUGGGACCGACUUCAUCAUCUCGGUGACACCGAUUUGAUGACAGAAGGUUACAGAAGCUUGGCAACUCAUUUUUCGGUGAGACCGAGUUCAGAAUCGGAAAAUCCGAGUUUGCUAGGGUUUGGCUUUAUGGCUGAGGUGGUUCAUCUCGGUGUGACUGAGUUUGGAAUAUCGGUGGGACCGAGACUACUUAUGAGUGUAUAUGGCAGUGAAAGUUGCUGAUAGUUUAGGAGAUGUAUCACUAAGCACUUGAGCAACCAGAUCAUCAUCAUAACCUCAUCCCCUUCUAAUAGUAUUGGCUUUUCCUAUGGACUCAAUGUGAUCUUGGAUCACUAAACCAAAAAUGGAGUCUUGAGCUUUUGCCAAUGCUUGCCUUAGCAUUUUGAGGGGUCCACUUCUUCAGUCCUUGCCAUACCCAUAUCACUGAACUCUCUGAAAUGAUUCUCAAGUAACUAUUAGUUCAAUGAUAUAUAUGUUGUUAUUAAUUACCAAAACCACCCGGGGAUUAGUUGCACUUUCAAUCUCCCCCUUUUUGGUAAUUGAUGACAACAUAUAGAUCAAAGCUUCGACAAAGGAUAUAAUCAAUGAAUAAUAUCGUCGCUUUGAGAAGUAUGUGAUAAGCAAGAGCUCCCCCUAAAUUUGUGCAUUAUUUAAGAUUUGCGUUUGAAUGCAAAUGCACAAUCGAUUAGGAUCAUGGGUCACUCUUCCAUAUCACAUACAUCUUGGUGGAGCGCACAAAAUGAUAAGAAUGAACAGCAUGCACCCAAUCACCAAGACAUGAGUAAAUGGUCAUACGAGAUAGGAAUGGCAUAUGAUAAUCAUUAAGCACACAUUAAAACAUAGUACGACCAAGCACUCAUUAAGGUAGAAUCAAACGUAGUAUCAAACACACUGAAUGUCUCGAAAACCAAAAGUAUCUCAAAGAAACCGCAAAAGAACGAAAGAGCAAAAGCGACAACAGCACUCUCUCUCUCGAAGUCCUAUGAUCUAUACAAUUUCUCACCCUUUGGCAACAAGUUACCAAAAAGUUCGAAAAAGCAUAGAGCUAAGCGUCACUGGGGACUCUGCUGGCGGCUCCCGUCUGGGUUGAUGUUGGAGUGGAUAUGACAGCAUCGGCGAAGACUUCAGCUGAUGUCUGUGCUGGAGGAGUGGUCACUGGAGUUGGAGUUGGAGUAACUGCUGGAACUGUGGGAGGUGCUGAAGCUGUAGUCCUGGUGUCUGUCACUGGAAUAGCAGCUGAUCGGGGUCCUGUGGGAACCGGAGCAGUCUGCUGAUAAGCAUCCUGGACUAAGUCAUCCUGCAUCUCACGCAUGAGCUCUUCCUUCUCCCGCUUUUCUUCCUCAAUGUCUGCCUCGAGCUUGUUGACAGUCACUCGCAUUUCAGUCAGCUUCACGUCCAGAGCGUGGAUCUUGUCCUCAACAAUCCUCUCUAGGCUCUCCUGAGACUGUACAAUGCUGGCCAGGCGUUGUUCAAUCCUUUGGGUAGCUUCAAGAAUCUUCUCUCCGAAACUCUUUGGUUUAGCUGCUGCUGCUGCUGCUUCCUUGUCAGCUUUGGCUUUCUUAGCAGCUUCGAUCUUGGAUUGACCUUCAACAGAUGUUGGAUCCUCCUCAUCCAUCACAACAACAUUGUCUUCAUGCUCUGGCUGCAACGGUAAAUGUUCUCUAUCCAACAAGAAUGUGCCCGUGCCAAACUUGGCAUUGAUAAGCAUCUGAAUCUGCGGGGCAAAUCCACACGACCAUUUCUGGUCAGCUGCAGUCCUCUUAAUGGUCUCUACCAUCAAGUCCAUCACCUUGAAAGGUGCUUUCUCAUCAAGUAGGUGCAGCAUGUUGAUAGAGUAUCCUCUGAUCAUGCGAUGAUCUCCAGACUUGGGCAUCAAGGUAUGCCUCAAAAUGGUAUUAGUGGUAGGUAAGCCUGCCUGGAGAUAGUAGACUGAGCCGAGCUUCCAAAUUCCCAAGUCCUUUGCUGGAACCUCUUUGUACAUGUUCUUCAUGGAUUCAUGAUUCUUCUUUGGAAUCCCAUAUACAUCAAUAUCAUCUUCUCGUUGCAUUGGAGCAUUCAGAAUUUCUGCCCAUUCUUCAACAGUAGAAGAAAAUCUUUGACCUUCAGUCAUCCACGUAAUCUUCCCAUCAGGGUAGAAGUGAGCUGUGGCAUAGAAUUGCAUUAUCAUCUCAUCGUUCCAACUGGUCAAUUUCUGACCAACAAAAUCUGCAACACCACAUGCAGUGAAACUUUCAUGCACAUGUGGAAAGAAAUCUCUGUGCUCUUCGCUUUCAAUGUACUUCCAGUCAACAUAUCUUGUGUCUGCGACUAUGGGCUUCUUGUCCAUCAGCACGGUCUCAUAGAAGUCCUGCUGCUCUCUGUUGUGAAAUCUGGGAUCUACAGCAGUUCUUCUCCUCACGGCAUAUGGGUCAGUUUGUCUCCAUAGCCUGAGACCUCUAUCUUUCAUUGCCUUCAUAUCCUCAGCUUGAGGAUGAGCAUCAUCAUGGACUGGCAGUUUUGGACGAAGUUUCAGCAAAACUGGUCCUUCAUCAUCUGACACAGCUGGUGGCACAUCAUCCUUGUUCUUUUCAGACGCUGGAAUGUUUCUGACGGUCUUCUUGGGCUUGGCAGCAGGCUUUGCUGGAGCUGCCUUAGCUGGAGCAGAUUUCUUGGGCUUUGAUGUGGCUCCAACCUUAAUGGCAUCACCCAUGAACAUAGGCUUCUGAGGAGGAGGCUGGGGUGCUCCCUCAUCCUCAUCUUCUUCUGCUGCAUCAUGCACUAUCCUCUUUCUCUUGGACGUUUUCUUCACUUUGCUUGCAGCUGCCUCUCCCAAAUUCAGCUUCUGAGCAACAGUUGACUGCUUGACUUUGCUGGUGCCCUUCUUAGUUUGUUGACCUUGUUUCUCUUUGGCAACAACCUUCCUUUUGGGCUUUGAGGUCACCUCUUCCUCAACGACAAAAUCUGAAUCUUCAUCAUCUGAAUUCCUCUUCUUUCUAGCUCUGGUGGCUGCAGGAGGCAAGCCACUUGGUGUACUCCUCUCACCAUCAUCAGAUGAGCUGCUAGGAUCAGGACUAGUGCCUGCCUCUGGAAUAUCUGCAAUGGGUGUCUCUGACCUGUUCUGACUGUCACUGGCAUCUGACAUGGCUGACAACCUGUGAAUAGAUAAGGUGUAGGCAGAGAAGAAGAGUCAUCACAAAAUGCAGAAGUUUUUGCAAAAAAUAUGAGUUCAAAUUCUAGUAUUAGGUUUUCACAUAAGACAUUUCGGUCAAACCGAGUUUAAGAUUCGGUGAAUCCGAAGUGUUAAACAGGAGCUGGCACACCACUUUCGGUUUGACCGAAGUGGGUUUCGGUCCUGCCGAAAACACUAGGGUUUCAUAGAAUUUUCAUUUCGGUCACACCGAUUUUGCACAACUCGGUUGGACCGAAAGGUGCAGUGCAAUGGCCAUAGGCCAAAUCGGUCAUACCGAAAUUAUAAAAUCGGUCUCACCGAGAUGUGUUCGGCGGAAACCUAACCCUAAAACUUUUACUCGAAUCUAGUCCAAACGAACUAAUCUGGUGUACAGGAGGAUUUCAAUCGUGGCAAGAUUCUAGGCAAUCCAAACGUGCAUUGAAUCGGAGCUGGGAGCACGAGUGGGAUCAAAACUCACCCUAACUUGGUGGAGUUUUUCUACGGCGGCAACGGCGCGGAGGAGAUGUCCGUUGACGGCGACGGAGACCUGCGGCGAGGGCGCACAGGCGACGAUGGCGAUGAUCCGGAGACCAAGGCGACGGCAGCAAGGGGUGUGGGGGCGAAACGUUUGAACGAGGAAUCAACACGCGUGGCCCUCGGAGUAUAUAUACCCCUUUGCUGUCGGUGGGACCGAGUUGUAAAACUCGGUGGCACCGAGAUGGAUAACUGCUAGGCAGUUAUGCACUUCGGUCAUGCCAAAAAUCACAACUCGGUUUCACCGAGGUGAAAACCUAGAUCAGUCCAAAUGCUUUCGGUUCGACCGAGUUUGAGUGAGUUGGUCUGACCGAAAUCAAUUAGAAGGUUUUGGAAGUUAGCCUUUGACGGAUCGGUGGCUCCGAGUGCUCCUCACCCGGAGGGUCCGAAAAUGACUUGUUCAAAAUUUGUGAUGUAAGCAUGAAUAGAAUUUGAGACAAGAAAGCAUAGAUAGCUAGGGGAGGUACUUAGGAUUCUUGUCCAUCCAUUUGGUCAGAAAAAUCAAAACGACCAAAGCAACAAAUGGAUGUCCUCGAAUGGAUAAAAUCAUGCAUCCAACAUGCUCCCACAAUAAGAUAGCAAAUGAAAUAUGUGUCAAACAUGCACAACCAAAACUCUAGGUACUAUCACACAAUUUGUCGAUGACUAGGUCAUCUUUAUAUGAGUAUAUUGACUUAGGAGCCAAAUGAGAACAUUUGAUCAUAGGUCAUACUCAUCGUUUAAGCACAAGUGGGGUUACCACUUUUACAUAAAGCAUUGAUGUGUUCACAUCAUUUGAAGAUGCCUUAGCUCAAUUUUUAGAGCAAAGCUCCCCCUAGAUGUGAGAACCCCUUUUAAAGGGUCAAACUAACCUUGGCAUGUCUUAGAAGACUUCAUGUAGAUGUUGAAGAUGUGGAUGCUCAAUGUUGAUGUAGAUCAUCAAGAGUUGAGAGCUAUCCCUUGGAUUCGGGCACUUUCAAUACCUACAUGGGUUAGUCCCACAAGGAACAAACAAGGAUAUCCAUGGACAUAGAUUGAAGUUCACAAUAGAUGAUGUCCAUGAAAGCAAUGAUUACCUUGUCCCUUGACUUACCAACAAGAGGGUUUGUGACUCCAUGAACUAGUGCACGAUGUGGAAGUUGAUUGCACAAGUUUUUGCCAAAAUGAAUGUGAGUGAAGUAUGUUGGCGGAGUCACCCUCAAGAACUUUCUAGUUCUUCUUCUUCGGGAUCCACAUCAUCUUGAUGGGAAUCCUUGGGGUUGUAGUUGAGCUUGACGAAGUAGAACUUGACGUUUCCUUGGGAACCCACUUGACCAUGGCUUGAGGUGCUUCAACAAAUGCAUCAAUCUCCUCUUGAAGCUUGUCCUUGCCUUUUAGCUUGUGGUCUUGUGGUGGAAGGUCAUCUUGAGCUUGUUCCACCUUGGAAGAAGUAGGAUCAUACUUCUCCUUUUGAGGAACAAACUGUGGAGUAGGAUAUUGACCUUCUUCCCAUUCAACACCUUCGGCGUUGAACUUUCGCUCAAAACCAAUUCCUUGAUUCUUCCGGUGCCUUCCUUGCUUGCGAACAAUUUCCUCAAAGUUCUUGCUUCCGGCAAGGCUCUUGUAGACACCUUUCUCUAUGAUCCCUUUCAAUAAACUAUUUUCUUGCUCAAGUGUAACUUGGCUUGAAACAUGGUUAGUGGAAUCAAGAGAACUACUAGAAGCAACAACAUUGGAUUUAGCAUGGUUAUUGUUACUACUAGAAAAGGAAUUUUUCUUAUGCUUGUCAUGCUUAGUCUUAAUGGGUGGCAAGAAAUUAGACAAGAGAAGUCAUUUGGCAAGAUAUGAAGAACUAUUCUUUCGAAGAUCGUCAUUGAUUGCUUUUAGAAACUCAUGUUCUUGCUCUAGAGUGAGCUUCUCGAAGCGUAGCUUCUCAUGCGAUCUUAGGAGCUCUCUAUGAUCUUCUUGAGUUGUUUCAUGAGCUAACUUAAGAGUUUUUAGUUCUUUAGUUAGACGCUCAAUCUCCUUCAUAGCAUUGUCAUUCGACUCUUCUCGACUAUAAAGACUACUAGCAUGUUCAUCGUUACUAGGUUCAUUGGAUUUAUCAAGUAAGAGCUCAUCUUCACCAAGCAAGUCAUCCUCAUCACUAUCGAAGUCAAUGAAUUUAGGGUGUGAUACCUUGGGGCCUUUAGCCAUGAAGCAUCUUCCAAUUCCCUCAUUUGGUGAAUCAAAUAAGUCGUAGGAAUUGGAGUUGGAGGAUACGAGAGCAAGACCGGCAACACCUUCAUCUUGACUGUAGUCGGAGUUGGAGUGAUAGCUUCCUUCGGAUUGAUUGUCGGAGUCGGAGCCGGAGACCCAUUCACCUACAUGAGCUUGAUGUUUUCUUCUUGUGUAGCUCCUUGAUGACUUGUCUUUCCUCUCCGAAUCCUUGCUUCUCUGAGAGGGUCUUCGUUCAUAACGAUCAUCUCUGCUCCUUCUCUCUUUCCGAGGUGACUCAUAUCUUGAGCUUCUUCUUCUUGGAGAUUCUUCUCUUCUCUUGUGGGGAGCCGUACACUCAUUUGAGUAGUGUUCGGGUCUUCCACAAUUGUAGCAGUUUCGAUCACGACUAGAAGAUCUCUUUUCAUCAUAUGAUCUAGACUUUGAGCUUCUCUCUUUGCCUCUAUUCUUGUAGAAUUUGUUGAAGUUCUUGACCAUUAGGCUUAUCUCUUCAUUGGAAACUAACUUGUCACUUGAGGUUGUGGGAGCAUCACUUGUAGCUUUGUAAGCACCACUUGACUUGUUGUGAAGCUCUUCCUUAUCCUUAAGUGUCAUCUCAUGAGCAACAAUUCUUCCAAUGACUUCGGUUGGCUUGAGAUUCUUGUAGUUUGGCAUCAUUUGGAUCAAAGUGCACACGGUGUCAUACUUUCCAUCCAAAGCUCUGAGAAUCUUCUUGAUGAUGAAUCGGUCGGUCAUUUCUUCGCUUUCUAAGCCGGCAAUUUCAUUUGUGAUGAGAGCAAGCCUAGAGUACAUUUCAGCGACUCCUUCACCAUCCUUCAUCUUGAACUUGUCAAGUUGACCUUGAAGAAUAUCUAGCUUUGACUCCUUCACGGACUCGGUACCUUCGUGCAUUUCAACCAAAGUAUCCCAAAUCUCUUUUGCAUUCUCAAGACGGCUGAUUUUGUUGAACUCCUCGGGACACAAGGCAUUGAAGAGAAUGUCACAAGCUUGAGCAUUGUUUUGCAACAUCCGCAAUUCUUCCGUUGUAGCUUCGCUAUCCGGAACUUUUCCUUCCUCGAAGAAUUCACCUUGCAUACCAACACAAAUAAUGCCCCAUGCGGCUGGGUUAUGACCAAGAAUAUGCAUUUUCAUUUUAUGCUUCCAACUAGCAAAAUUUGUACCAUCAAAGUAAGGACCUCUACGAAAAUUACCCUCACUAGACGCCAUACUCUCCUAGGUUGUGAAACCAAGCUUAUGGAGUCCAAUGCAAUGGAAACCAAUACAAUGGAGACCAAAGCUCUGAUACCACUUGUAGGAUCGAAAGUAUGUCUAGAGGGGGGGUGAUUAGACUACUUGACAAUAUAAAAAUUCUGCCUUUUGACAAAGAACAGUUUUUGGCAGAUUCACAAUUAUGAGCAAGUCAAGCAUCACCCUACACAUGCAAUUCUAGAGUAUAGGCAGCGGAAAGUAAAUUGCACAUGUAGUAAAGAGAGGUGGAGAAGAGCAAACGCAAUUUUGGAGACGCGGUGAUUUUUCUCGUGGUUCCGAUAGGUGGUGCUAUCGUACUUCCACGUUGAUGGAGACUUCAACCCACGAAAGGUAACGGCUGCGAGAGUCCCAGGAGGGCUCCACCCAUGAAGGGUCCACGAAGAAGCAACCUUGUCUAUUCCAUCAUGGCCUACGCCCACGGAGGGCUAGCCUUACUCGGCGUAGAUCUUCACGAAGUAGGCGAUCUCCUUGCCCUUACAAACUUCUUGGUUCAACUCCACAUCUCGACGGAGGCUCCCAAGCGACACCUAACCAAUCUAGGAGGCACCACCCUCCAAAAGGUAAUAGAUGUUGUAGAUGAUGAUGAACUCCUUGCUCUUGUGCUUCAAAUGAUAAUCUCCCCAACACUCAACUCUCCUCACUGAUUUGGCUGUGGUGGAAGAAAGGAUUGAGUGGAAAGCAACUUGGGAAGGCUAGAGAUCAAGCUUCAUAUGGUGGGAGUGGAGCAACUUGAUCUCAACACAAGGGUAGGUAGUUCUCUUCUCAGAAAUGUAAGGUAGGAGUGGUAGUUCUUUCUGAUGGCUCUCUCCACGAAUGAAGAGGGGGUGGAGGGGUAUAAAUAGCCUCCACACAAAAUCCAACCGUUACACACAUUUGAGCAAUCUCGGUGGGACCGAAGUUGACAACUCGGUGAGACCGAUAGUUCAAAUAAUGUGAACGUUGGGAUUUUCGGUGGGACCGAAAAUACAAUCUCGGUUAGUCCGAUUAGUGCAAUGACAAGAGCAUGCCAAUUUCGGUGGGACCGACUUCAUCAUCUUGGUGACACCGAUUUGAUGACAGAAGGUUACAGAAGCUUGGCAACUCAUUUUUCGGUGAGACCGAGUUCAGAAUCGGAAAAUCCGAGUUUGCUAGGGUUUGGCUUUAUGGCUGAGGUGGUUCAUCUCGGUGUGACUGAGUUUGGAAUAUCGGUGGGACCGAGACUACUUAUGAGUGUAUAUGACAGUGAAAGUUGCUGAUAGUUUAGGAGAUGUAUCACUAAGCACUUGAGCAACCAGAUCAUCAUCAUAACCUCAUCCCCUUUUAAUAGUAUUGGCUUUUCCUAUGGACUCAAUGUGAUCUUGGAUCACUAAACCAAAAAUGGAGUCUUGAACUUUUGCCAAUGCUUGCCUUAGCAUUUUGAGGGGUCCACUUCUUCAGUCCUUGCCAUACCCAUAUCACUGAACUCUCUGAAAUGAUUCUCAAGUAACUAUUAGUUCAAUGAUAUAUAUAUGUUGUUAUUAAUUACCAAAACCACCCGGGGAUUAGUUGCACUUUCAAUCUCCCCCUUUUUGGUAAUUGAUGACAACAUAUAGAUCAA
Molecule: long non-coding RNA, 9463 nt
Filed under: Triticum aestivum (bread wheat)
Lineage: Eukaryota; Viridiplantae; Streptophyta; Magnoliopsida; Poales; Poaceae
Description: long non-coding RNA (TAES_LNC023429)
Source: RNAcentral